This 375-nucleotide long non-coding RNA is filed under the name Apteryx owenii (little spotted kiwi). RNAcentral's name for it is "lncRNA (ENSAOWG00000009613.1)". Lineage: Eukaryota; Metazoa; Chordata; Aves; Apterygiformes; Apterygidae. The record is from RNAcentral.
CACGUGGUGUCCUCCAAGGCGCUUCAGGUCCCAGGCAGGACAUCGCAAGUGCUGGAAGUCAAUUGUUGGCUGUGGGAAAGUUUUUGGCACGUUUGACCCCCGUUCAGUGGGAGAGAAGGCGAUACUAAUGCAACAUCUUGUGUCUUCCAGGAGCAGAAGCAAGGCAGUUCUGGGCUCCCCACUGAUGGGACUGGUUCUGCUGGUAAUCUGCCAAAGCCUGUAGUUAUCAGGCUUCAGAAGACAGUAGUUAGCAGAUGCGGGGAAUGGGAGAUGUCUGGAUUUCACAUGCCACUCCUUAGCCCAAGCGUCUGGUGCCACCGUUGUCCACCUGGUCCUGGUGCCUUCAGAAACCUGAGUCAAAGGAAAAUUCUGCUU